Molecule: ribosomal RNA, 433 nt
Filed under: uncultured bacterium
Lineage: Bacteria
Description: partial 16S ribosomal RNA
Rfam family: Bacterial small subunit ribosomal RNA
Source: RNAcentral
AACGAACGCUGGCGGCAUGCCUAACACAUGCAAGUCGAACGAGACCUUCGGGUCUAGUGGCGCACGGGUGCGUAACGCGUGGGAACCUGCCUUUAGGUUCGGAAUAACUCCCCGAAAGGGGUGCUAAUACCGGAUAAUGUCUUCGAACCAAAGAUUUAUCGCCUUUGGAUGGGCCCGCGUUGGAUUACCUAGUUGGUAGGGUAAACGCCUACCAAGGCUAGGAUCCAUAGCUGGUCUGAGAGGAUGAUCAGCCACACUGGGACUGAGACACGGCCCAGACUCCUACGGGAGGCAGCAGUGGGGAAUAUUGGACAAUGGGCGAAAGCCUGAUCCAGCAAGGACGCGUGAGUGAUGAAGGCCUUAGGGUUGUAAAGCUAUUUUACCCGGGAUGAUAAUGACAGUACCGGGAGAAUAAGCUCCGGCUAACUCCGUG